Molecule: ribosomal RNA, 305 nt
Filed under: uncultured bacterium
Lineage: Bacteria
Description: bacterial SSU rRNA
Rfam family: Bacterial small subunit ribosomal RNA
Source: RNAcentral
GCCUACGGGGGGCAGCAGUAGGGAAUCUUCCACAAUGGGCGAAAGCCUGAUGGAGCAACGCCGCGUGGGUGAAGAAGGUCUUCGGAUCGUAAAACCCUGUUGUUAGAGAAGAAAGUGCGUGAGAGUAACUGUUCACGUUUCGACGGUAUCUAACCAGAAAGCCACGGCUAACUACGUGCCAGCAGCCGCGGUAAUACGUAGGUGGCAAGCAUUAUCCGGAUUUAUUGGGCGUAAAGGGAACGCAGGCGGUCUUUUAAGUCUGAUGUGAAAGCCUUCGGCUUAACCGGAGUAGUGCAUUGGAAACU